UGUUCGAGCGUCAUUACAACCCUCAAGCACUGCUUGGUAUUGGAUGCUACUGCUUGUGGUGCAUCUCAAAAGCAUUGGCGGCAGCAUUUAGCUUCUAGUGUAGUAAAUUCCUCACUUUGGAGUCUAGGUGUCUGACAGCCAGAACCCUUAAUUUAUUAGAUGUUGACCUCGGAUCAGGUAGGGAUACCCGCUGAACUUAA
RNAcentral lists this unclassified non-coding RNA (200 nucleotides) under soil metagenome. RNAcentral's name for it is "partial contains internal transcribed spacer 2 and large subunit ribosomal RNA". The record is from RNAcentral.